RNAcentral lists this long non-coding RNA (4776 nucleotides) under Bos grunniens (domestic yak). RNAcentral's name for it is "lncRNA (ENSBGRG00000012843.1)". The record is from RNAcentral. Lineage: Eukaryota; Metazoa; Chordata; Mammalia; Artiodactyla; Bovidae.
GAUCCAAAAUCGGAGAAAGUUACGGGGCUCGGGGGGCGCCCGCAACUUCAGCAGCAGCAGCAGCAGGUAGGGCCAGGGCCGGAGCCGCCAGGGCCGCCGCGCGGGUGCGGGGGGCCGCUAGCGCCCCGAGCCCCGUCACGCAACCUCCCUUUGCCGCCACGGCGGAACUCACGCUCUCUAGUAAUUGAACACCUUUACUUUCAAAUCGGAGACCGGGGAGAAGUGGUAAUAAAUUCCUUUCCUACCACAGCAAAAAAAAAAGUCAUUUUUCCUACGCUUAAAUCUGAAUUCUCACGACUGCCUAGAAGCGACGAGCCAGGCCGAGCCCGGGGCGACGCCCGAGCGGCGGGAGCCCGACCGAGCCCGGGGCCGACGCUGAGGGCGGACCCGCGCCCGGCGGGGAGCAGCUCGCGGCGGCGUGUUCAGGCCGCGGUAGAGACGCCGGCCAAGCCUCGCGGCGUCCGCGACCCCGGGAGCGGCCUGGCCUGCCGGACCGUUAGGACAGGCGGCGCCGCGGCCCUGGCGGCGAGGCCACCGGGCAGCACCGGGCGCCGCGACUUCUCGCCGCCACCUCAGCGGCUCCGGCGGAGCCCGGGAGCGGCAGUGGGGGAAGGGAGCGCGCCGGCGGCUUACCUCAGGAGCGGGCGGCUCCUUCCCGCCGCGAGAGUGGCCGGGGCGCUGCGCGGCGGUGGCGGGCGUCGCGGCUGCGGCAGGGGGAGAGAGAGAGAGAGAGAAGCGGCGGUGGAGCGAGCGCCGGGACUCCGGAGAGCAGAGGUGGAUCCUCUACCAGCUGAGCGACCAGGGAAGCCCAGUCCUGUGUCUAUGAAACAGCUAUUCACCUAUUUCUUCUGUCAAUGGUGAGCCACUGCUGCAGACCAGCUCUGACCCAGAGCCUCUGCCAAGCUUACACACUGUGGCCAGGCUGUGUCUUUCUGUGGUAGCCAUGUUCUCUUUCAAGACGUCUCAGGUCUCUGCUCAAUCCUUUGUUUAUACGUUUCUCACUCUUUCUUAGACUACAGACUGCUGCUGCUGCUAAGUCGCUUCAGUCAUGUCCUACUCCGUGCAACCCCAUAGAUGGCAGCCCAGCAGGCUCUGCUGUCCCUGGGACUCUGCAGGCAAGAAUACUGGAGUGGGUUGCCAUUUUCUUCUCCAAUGCAUGGAAGUGAAAAGUGAAAGUGAAGUCACUCAGUCAUGUCCAACUCUUCACAACCCCAUGGACUGCAGCCCACCAGGCUCCUCUGUCCAUGGGACUCUCCAGGCAAGAGUACUGGAGUGGGUUGCCAUUGCCUUCUCCUUGUACUUGCUACUUACGGAUAUUUGAGUUAUCCCUAGCCUUGUUAAUAGUUAACUACCUUUUAUUACUUAACAUUUCUUUAUUUUAAAUUUCCCUUGCUCUAAUUACUGGUAUGGUUUCUGUCUCCUAAUUGAACUCUGACUGCUAUUAGAAUUCAUAUCUGAGGUGGUCCCAGGAGACAGACCCAAAAAGAUGAAUUUGGGGAUUGGGUAAUAUGUUGAGCUUCUUGCCAAUGGGAAAUGGAAUGAAGUAAUUUAUGAUUAACUUCUCACCUAUGGUUAAUUAAAUGCCAAUUGAACAAGUGUUGUUGGAGUCCUUGCAGCUAUAUUUGACUAUCAUAGACUAUUCUGAGUACACUAGAGAGCUUACAGAAAGAAAAUGACAAUCUUAGGUUCUAUAACUCUUAGUUAAAAUCAUGGUCUUCGAACCACAGAACUAUGACAUCUUAAAAAGAAUCUCAGUUCUUGUCACUACAGAGCUGAUGCUGAAAAUCAAACAUAAAACUUAAUAUUGUGGGUUGCAGAAUUAUAGCAUUAGUUAAAUUCACAGCCUCACUAAGUAUCCCAUGUGAAAAUUAUAGUAUUGACCAGGACAUUAUGGAACCCUAAAACUUGAGAUGAGACCAUUUAGUUAGACUCAGAUAAAACUCAGAAUCUAAGCCUCCCUUAUGUCUGUAGACAUAGCUUUCUAUCUUUUGUCUGAGAUUACUAGUCUUCCUGUGCUAAUCUCACUUCAGACAUACACCUUGAAGGGGAAUGUUCUUUCUUCUCAAUACCCACCAUAAUCACUUCCUGUUUUCAUAAUACCUGUAACUGUGGUCAAAUUUCACCACAUUUCAAAGGGCCAAAACAAUUACAGGAGAUGACAACUUACACACCAAACUAAUCACAAGAUAUUAUGAAUAUAUUCCAGCAGAAACUGGGAAAUGUAUGUGGAAAUGUAUUCUAAAGGUGUUAGUCUAAAGAGGGAAGAAUAUAAAAAUGGGCUAAUUAAAUUAAUACGGGUGCACUUACUGGAGGUUUCAGGUUUCAAGUAUUAAUUCAUGCAACUGUAGUUGCUUCUAGUAAACUACCUUUUGGAUUUACUGAAACUUGGACUGAUUGGCGGCUGAUGACAAUGAGAUUGAGAUGUCUGAGCUUCCCUGCAUUAUGUGUUGAAGGGAACCCAAAGGUUUAGGGAGACAGGGAGCUUGGAGUAGACUUAUUAUGUGUGACCUGCACACCUACCAUUAAACUACAGUGCCUUUUACAGCUUGGCACAUUUCCAGGGGUACCUGUCUCCCAGUUUGAAUGCCCCUGGUGUAGAGAUUAUUUCAAGAGACUAACUCUGAAGGGAAGGAAUAAAGUAGUAACUCAAGAGGAAUACAGAGUUAAGAGAUUAAAAAAAAAAAAAAAGCCAACAGAUCUAAGUAUUUUAAAGAGGCAAGCAGAGGAACAGGGAGAGAAGAUGAAAAUCCAGGCAGGAGGUUAUGUAAAUACAUCACAGCAAUGUCUAAAACUGUGGCCCUGAAGAUCGUCUAUGAACAUGGCAAGGUCAUACCUCCAGGAAUUAAUCUGUUGUUUUCUGGUUUCUCCCCUUCCUUUCCAUACUCUCAUUGGUAUUGGAUAGCCAUAAGUUACCACUUAGUGAAGAGAAACAAAUGCUCCAGGAAGGAAGCUGUGGACACUUUACCUUCUAGGCCUUACGUGAGACUCUAGUUAGGGAAGACAGGGGAAAGAGUGCAAGAGGGGAAGAGGAAAACUAGGUUUGGAAAGAUGAGGAAAGGAGAGUUUCAGCCUGUGAAAGCAGACUGGAUACAGAGCAGUGUGCCACUGCCUCCUUCCCAGCGCUCCAACAUCCUCCCAGUCUUCUCUGCCUGUGGUCCGCUUACCCUGUAGUGUUCUUAUACCCUAGGGAGCCUCCUCCUCUGGACACCUUGUGAUGGUGGUAGAGGUGCUGUGUCUCCUUCCCAACGUAGGAUGAAAAGAACCAACGGAAAAUUUCUUUAUGCCCUGGGCUAGAGUGGAUAUUGAGCCCUGCUGUUUGUGUAGGUCAUAGCUAUGUUUCGGACAGUGUUAUGGUGGUUGUUGGACAGUUGCUAAGUUGUGUCCAACUCUUUGCAACCCCAUGAACUUCAGCACGCCAGGCUUCCCUGUCCUUCACUAUCUUCUGGAGUUUGCUCAAACUCAUGUCCAUUGAGUUGGUGAUGCCAUCCAACCAUCUCAUCUUGCCCUCAACCUUUCCCAACAUCAGGGUCUUUUCCAGUGAGUCAACCCUUCACAUCAAGUGGCCAAAGUAUUAGGCUAAUCUUUCACACAGAAACAAGUUACUUGUUUUUUGAGUUCCUAUCUGUAGGUUUUCAGUUUUUUGUUUGCUGUUGUUGUUAUGGACUGGAUGUUUGUGUCUCCUCCACCAUCAAAUUCCUAUGUUGAAACCUUACCCCUUGAUGUGAUGGUAUUAGAAGGUUGGGCUUUGGGAGGUAAGUAGAAUUAGAUAAGAUCAAGAGUGUGCAGCCCUCGUGAAUGGGAUAAGAGUCAUGAGAGAUCUUGCUUUCUCCCUUGGCUCUCUCCUGUGAGGGAACAGUGAGAAGUAACCAUCUGCAACCCAGAGGAGGGCUCUUUCCAAAACCAUGCUGAUAUCCUGACCUUAGACUUCCAGUCUCCAGAACUGCGAGAACUUAAUGUCUAUUGCUUAUUAGCUGCCCAGGCAAUGAUGUUCUAUUAUAGCUGCUGCUGCUGCUGCUGCUAAGUAGCUUCAGUCGUGUCCAACUCUGUGCAACCCCAUAGACUGCCUCCCAUCAGGCUCCCCCGUCCCUGGGAUUCUCCAGGCAAGAACACUGGAGUGGGUUGCCAUUUCCUUCUCAAAUGCAUGAAACUGAAAAGUGAAAGUGAAGUCGCUUAGUCAUGUCCAAUUCUUAGCAACCUCAUGGAUUGCAGCCUACCAGGCUCCUCCGUCCAUGGGAUUUUCCAGGCAAGAGUACUGGAAUGGGGUGCCCUUGCCUUCUGCGUCUGUUAUAGCAGCCUGCGCUAACAGAGACAUUUUAGAAGCAGUGAUUGUAUAAGCCUGGUGACUGGGCUCAGAAGGUAAAAGUUGAAACAGCUAACCUAUGAGAAUUAUGACUUUGGUCUCAUUGACACAUAACCAUGUAAUGGACUUACAAAAUAAACUUACAAAAAUUUGCAUAAAUCUUGGAGGUGAAUAGAGCUAUCAGUUAAGCAUACAGAUAUUUUAACAUAUGCAAAUACUUUUUUUGGAAUGUAUUACAUUUGAAGUAAGACUGAUGACCUAUAUAGAGACACACAAAAGCAACAGAAAACUUACAAAUAUACACAAAUGUAUGUGAAUUAUAUUUUUAUUAAAUUCCUUUAUUUUUAAUUGAAGGAUAAUAGCCUUACAAUAUUGCAUUGGUUUCUACCAAACAUCAGCAUGAAUCAGCCAUGGGUUUACAUAUGUCCCCUCCCACCUGAACAUCCCUCCCACCUUCCUUCCCAUCUCACAUCUAA